UGGGGAAUUUUGGACAAUGGGGGAAACCCUGAUCCAGCCAUCCCGCGUGUGCGAUGAAGGCCUUCGGGUUGUAAAGCACUUUUGGCAGGAAAGAAACGUCGCGGGUUAAUACCCCGCGAAACUGACGGUACCUGCAGAAUAAGCACCGGCUAACUACGUGCCAGCAGCCGCGGUAAUACGUAGGGUGCAAGCGUUAAUCGGAAUUACUGGGCGUAAAGCGUGCGCAGGCGGUUCGGAAAGAAAGAUGUGAAAUCCCAGAGCUUAACUUUGGAACUGCAUUUUUAACUACCGGGCUAGAGUGUGUCAGAGGGAGGUGGAAUUCCGCGUGUAGCAGUGAAAUGCGUAGAUAUGCGGAGGAACACCGAUGGCGAAGGCAGCCUCCUGGGAUAACACUGACGCUCAUGCACGAAAGCGUGGGGAGCAAACAGGAUUAGAUACCCUGGUAGUCCACGCCCUAAACGAUGUCAACUAGCUGUUGGGGCCUUCGGCCUUGGUAGCGCAGCUAACGCGUGAAGUUGACCGCCUGGGGAGUACGGUCGCAAGAUUAAAACUUAAAUGAAUUGAC
This 565-nucleotide ribosomal RNA is filed under the name uncultured bacterium. RNAcentral's name for it is "partial 16S ribosomal RNA". It matches the Rfam family "Bacterial small subunit ribosomal RNA", at positions 355 to 914 of the family's 1533-position model. The record is from RNAcentral.